GGACGCCAGUCUGCGUGGAGCCAACCUUGAAAUACCACCCUUUAAUGUUUGAUGUUCUAACGUAGGCCCGUGAUCCGGGCUGCGGACAGUGUCUGGUGGGUAGUUUGACUGGGGCGGUCUCCUCCUAAAGAGUAACGGAGGAGCACGAAGGUCAGCUAAUCACGGUCGGACAUCGUGAGGUUAGUGCAAUGGCAUAAGCUGGCUUGACUGCGAGAGUGACGGCUCGAGCAGGUGCGAAAGCAGGUCAUAGUGAUCCGGUGGUUCUGAAUGGAAGGGCCAUCGCUCAACGGAUAAAAGGUACUCCGGGGAUAACAGGCUGAUACCGCCCAAGAGUUCAUAUCGACGGCGGUGUUUGGCACCUCGAUGUCGGCUCAUCACAUCCUGGGGCUGAAGUAGGUCCCAAGGGUAUGGCUGUUCGCCAUUUAAAGUGGUACGCGAGCUGGGUUUAGAACGUCGUGAGACAGUUCGGUCCCUAUCUGCCGUGGGCGCUGGAGAACUGAGGGGGG
Molecule: non-coding RNA, 506 nt
Filed under: Plasmopara halstedii
Lineage: Eukaryota; Oomycota; Peronosporomycetes; Peronosporales; Peronosporaceae
Description: Bacterial large subunit ribosomal RNA
Rfam family: Bacterial large subunit ribosomal RNA
Source: Rfam by way of RNAcentral